GUUGUUGUGGUUUCCCGAGUGGUUAAGGCGAUGGACUUGAAAUCCAUUGGGGUUUCCCAGCGCAGGUUCAAAUCCUGCCAACAACG
RNAcentral lists this transfer RNA (86 nucleotides) under Hippoglossus stenolepis (Pacific halibut). RNAcentral describes it as "tRNA-Ser". It matches the Rfam family "tRNA". From Rfam's summary of the family: Transfer RNA (tRNA) molecules are approximately 80 nucleotides in length. Their secondary structure includes four short double-helical elements and three loops (D, anti-codon, and T loops). Further hydrogen bonds mediate the characteristic L-shaped molecular structure. tRNAs have two regions of fundamental functional importance: the anti-codon, which is responsible for specific mRNA codon recognition, and the 3' end, to which the tRNAs corresponding amino acid is attached (by aminoacyl-tRNA synthetases). tRNAs cope with the degeneracy of the genetic code in two manners: having more than one tRNA (with a specific anti-codon) for a particular amino acid; and 'wobble' base-pairing, i.e. permitting non-standard base-pairing at the 3rd anti-codon position. Lineage: Eukaryota; Metazoa; Chordata; Actinopteri; Pleuronectiformes; Pleuronectidae. The record is from RNAcentral.